GGUUGUAGCCAAGAACCGGUGCUCCUCCAUCAUGACCCGGCGGGUUCCAGCUCACCGUCAUGGCGUCCUUGGUGACACCAGACACCUGAAGCUGGAAGGCCGUGCCUGGAGGCUCUGAGUGGAUUUCAGCAAAGCUCAGCUUCGUUCCCUGGUUUCGAGAAGUGUGUCUCGUCUCCCCGGAUUCCCUCUGUACUUCUUGAUGCCUCCCUGGAUCUCGACCUCUUGCCUGCCCCCGGAUUACGACGCCUAGCUCAAGCCCUUGACCUCUUGCCUGCCCACGGACUACGACGCCUCGCUCAAGCCUUUUACCUCUUGCCUGCUCACGGACCUCCGAGCCUGCCUUGCCCUCUCUGGACUUCCGCAGCUUUCACAACACGCACCUUCAACACCUCCCGGUAACACUCAGCACGUACUCGCCUCACAUAGACACACACCAUGUAUUUGGGUUGAUUACAGACGUCACCUACUUGUGCUAAAUAAAAUGCUGCAAGCUUAA
This is a long non-coding RNA of Nerophis ophidion (straightnose pipefish), 496 nucleotides long. RefSeq lists it as uncharacterized. The transcript is spliced from 2 exons. Lineage: Eukaryota; Metazoa; Chordata; Actinopteri; Syngnathiformes; Syngnathidae. The record is from RefSeq and is a predicted model, not a curated record.